GGAAGAUGUAACGGGGCUAAACCAUGCACCGAAGCUGCGGCAGCGACGCGUAUGCGUUGUUGGGUAGGGGAGCGUUCUGUAAGCCGUUGAAGGUGUGCUGUGAGGCAUGCUGGAGGUAUCAGAAGUGCGAAUGCUGACAUAAGUAACGAUAAAGCGGGUGAAAAGCCCGCUCGCCGGAAGACCAAGGGUUCCUGUCCAACGU
This 202-nucleotide ribosomal RNA is filed under the name Enterobacter chengduensis. RNAcentral describes it as "partial 23S ribosomal RNA". It matches the Rfam family "Bacterial large subunit ribosomal RNA", at positions 1165 to 1365 of the family's 2925-position model. The record is from RNAcentral. Lineage: Bacteria; Pseudomonadati; Pseudomonadota; Gammaproteobacteria; Enterobacterales; Enterobacteriaceae.